This 224-nucleotide ribosomal RNA is filed under the name uncultured bacterium. RNAcentral's name for it is "partial 16S ribosomal RNA". It matches the Rfam family "Bacterial small subunit ribosomal RNA", at positions 15 to 230 of the family's 1533-position model. The record is from RNAcentral.
GAUCAUGCCUCAGGAUGAACGCUAGCUACAGGCUUAACACAUGCAAGUCGAGGGGCAGCAUGGUCUUAGCUUGCUAAGGCCGAUGGCGACCGGCGCACGGGUGAGUAACACGUAUCCAACCUGCCGUCUACUCUUGGACAGCCUUCUGAAAGGAAGAUUAAUACAAGAUGGCAACAUGAGUCCGCAUGUUCACAUGAUUAAAGGUAUUCCGGUAGACGAUGGGG